RNAcentral lists this ribosomal RNA (401 nucleotides) under Kluyveromyces marxianus. RNAcentral's name for it is "partial 18S ribosomal RNA". The stretch from base 134 to 287 matches the Rfam family "5.8S ribosomal RNA". The record is from RNAcentral. Lineage: Eukaryota; Fungi; Ascomycota; Saccharomycetes; Saccharomycetales; Saccharomycetaceae.
UUCUCAUCCUAAACACAAUGGAGUUUUUUCUCUAUGAACUACUUCCCUGGAGAGCUCGUCUCUCCAGUGGACAUAAACACAAACAAUAUUUUGUAUUAUGAAAAACUAUUAUACUAUAAAAUUUAAUAUUCAAAACUUUCAACAACGGAUCUCUUGGUUCUCGCAUCGAUGAAGAACGCAGCGAAUUGCGAUAUGUAUUGUGAAUUGCAGAUUUUCGUGAAUCAUCAAAUCUUUGAACGCACAUUGCGCCCUCUGGUAUUCCAGGGGGCAUGCCUGUUUGAGCGUCAUUUCUCUCUCAAACCUUUGGGUUUGGUAGUGAGUGAUACUCGUCUCGGGUUAACUUGAAAGUGGCUAGCCGUUGCCAUCUGCGUGAGCAGGGCUGCGUGUCAAGUCUAUGGACU